This 130-nucleotide ribosomal RNA is filed under the name Henningsomyces sp. RNAcentral's name for it is "partial large subunit ribosomal RNA". It matches the Rfam family "Eukaryotic large subunit ribosomal RNA", at positions 99 to 226 of the family's 3401-position model. Lineage: Eukaryota; Fungi; Basidiomycota; Agaricomycetes; Agaricales; Schizophyllaceae. The record is from RNAcentral.
CGGGAAAAGCUCAAAUUUAAAAUCUGGCAGUCUUUGGCUGUCCGAGUUGUAAUUUAGAGAAGUGUUACCCGUGCUGGACUAUGUAAAAGUCUUCUGGAAUGAAGCAUCAUGGAGGGUGAGAGCCCCGUCU